This 371-nucleotide non-coding RNA is filed under the name Ophiocordyceps sinensis. RNAcentral's name for it is "Eukaryotic large subunit ribosomal RNA". It matches the Rfam family "Eukaryotic large subunit ribosomal RNA", at positions 1489 to 1888 of the family's 3401-position model. Lineage: Eukaryota; Fungi; Ascomycota; Sordariomycetes; Hypocreales; Ophiocordycipitaceae. RNAcentral also lists the same sequence under 1 other name. The record is from Rfam by way of RNAcentral.
AGUCGAAGUGGGGAAAGGUUCCAUGUAAACAGCGGUUGGACAUAGGAAGUUCCGUUUCAAAGGCGCACUCGCGCGCCGUCUGACGAAAGGGGAGCCGGUCAAUAUUCCAGCACCUGGAUGUGGGUUUUGCGUGGCAACGCAACUGAACGCGGAGACGACGGCGGGGGCCCUGGGCAGAGUUCUCUUUUCUUCUUAACGGUCUCUCGCCGUGAAAUCGGUUUGUCCGGAAAUUGGGUUUAACGGUCAGAGGAGCCCAGCACCUCCGUUGGGUCCGGUGCGCCCCCGACGUCCCUUGAAAAUCCGCGGGAGGGUUCUCACGCCAGGUCGUACUCAUAACCGAAGCAGGUCUCCAAGGUGAACAGCCUCUGGUU